GACACACAGGCAGAUGGACAUGGAGAGGAAUGCACCGACAGGCACCAGCAUGCCAGCAGGCCACCGACCAGGAGAACUAUCCUAUACGGAGUUUAGCUGGGGCACUGAGUGGCCGGACUCCAGUGGAAAACCUUCCCACUCCAUCCCCUUCUGGCUUCCUCCAUCUGCUGAGAGCUACCUCCGCUCAAUAAAACCUUGCACUCACUCUCCAAGCCCAGGUGUGAUCCGAUUCUUCCAGUGCACCAAGCUUUCCCUUCAGUCAUCAAACUGACUAACAGUAGAAGGAAAACCAGGCUUUUGAUUUUGGACAAACUCAUAUACGGAGAGAACCACUUUCAAAAACACAGUUAAAAGAGCCUAUUGAUAACUCCUCUGGGAGUUAGUCUUUAUACAUCCAUCUGUGGGACACGCACAGGCAGAAUUGUGGAAUAUCACCUCAAAAAAGAAAAAUAAGAAAGCAAGAUCAGGAGAAAUGAGACUGGAGCAGAACUGUCAUGCACUGAUCAUCUCUGUGUGGAAUGCAAAAAUGGAUAUGGAUAUUAAACUCCAGGAGAUGUUAUUUGGGAAAGGUGACUGCAAGAAGUCAAGCUAUUCAGAGACUAUACCUGAUCAUGAACAUUGUUCUACCUGUAAUCGUGCUGAGAGAAUAAUAUACUGGUGAGGGUGUGAGGGUGAAAGUAUUAUCACAUUUGCAAAGUAUAAUGCAAUUUCUCUCUCAUGGAGUAAAACUCUCCCUCUCUCUCUCUCUGUCUGUGUCUCUCUCUCUUUCCUACCUCCACUGUUCUAGUAGACCUUGACAUUCUGAAACUGGCCCAACUGUCCCAUAGAACUGAUGUUUAUGGUUUCUUUGAAUAAACACAGAAAUUGAUCCUCCUUGUCUUAA
RNAcentral lists this long non-coding RNA (883 nucleotides) under Homo sapiens (human). Its description in RNAcentral is "HSALNT0359880". Lineage: Eukaryota; Metazoa; Chordata; Mammalia; Primates; Hominidae. The record is from RNAcentral.